This 399-nucleotide long non-coding RNA is filed under the name Fukomys damarensis (Damara mole-rat). Its description in RNAcentral is "lncRNA (ENSFDAG00000023993.1)". Lineage: Eukaryota; Metazoa; Chordata; Mammalia; Rodentia; Bathyergidae. The record is from RNAcentral.
UUCCAGUUUGAUAAAUUGUUUCUUACUACCUCUUGUGUUUUUGUUUUCUUUUGCCAGGGCUGUGUGGCUGAGUGACAAAGAUACCCUUCAGCCAGCUCACUCUGAAUGCAUGACUGAAAGAUCACAUUGAGUGUCUUACAUCCACACUUCCUGUUCGGCAUUGCUUCAAGGAACACAUGGAUUCAUUUCUCAUGCUUUUUAAAUGCGGUGCAUUACUUCCAAGGCCAUGUAAAGCUGACUGACCAUUAAAUUCUCUCAGCAAAAGCCAGACUGCAGGAAAUCCGAGCGCUCCUGCAUGUGGUUCAUGGCAAGUGGAUAUGAAUUUUAAUUAGGUAAUAAAUAAUGAUUUAAUUGUUUGGUCCUGUGAUUUUGUUUUAAAAAUAUUUGAUAACUGCCACC